GGGGCUAGGAGGAAGAGGCCGUAAUAGGGGAUCGGGCCUACCCUGAGUUCCCUGUUCAGCUAGAGCAUCCAUUCACCUCCAUUCUCCCCCAGGCUGUCUAUACUGCCUGAAGGCUUAAUUCACUGGCCAUUAGGCUGCAGAUUUGUUAUUGCUCACCUUCAGAGGCACUGACAGAAGACAUUUCAGCCACGGGCGGGACGGGACUUCCAGAGGGAAUUACAAGGAAGGAUUUGGUUCCUUCUGAGGAGCUCUUGUUAUGUUCUAGAAAUACCAAAUAUAAGACAGACAGUCUGUUUGAUAGAAUACCGUCUUCCCAUAGACAUAGGACUGUAAAUUGGCAAUGGGGAUUCCCAGUCAUGGAGCAAUGGGACCUGAUUUGUCAAUCACUUUUCAAUUAGCAAAUGAGUUGCACCCUGUAGGCAAGGUACCACUACGGCUCCUGGUCAAAAUGACUUCGAUCAAAGCCAUAAGAGCUGAGGUAGGACAGAGGAGAGCUGAGCCAGCAGGAUUUAUCCACUUCUUGGUGUAGAGCAAUUAAAUUAUCUUCGUAUAUAAUAUAAUUACCAUUAUGCAAUUGAUCAAAUGGUUUGAUUUUAUACCAGAACCACUCAAAGGCCAAUAACAUAACCUCAUUAGAAGAGAGGGAAAGCAGACAAUUGAAAUACAGCAUGAUAUAAUAGGCUAUAUAGCUCCAGGUAGAGAGAGUCAGCAGUUUUAAGUUCAUCGACGUCCUCACCACCGAGGACUUUACAUGAACCAACAACACUACAACUUUUUUCAAGAGGGCGCAACAGCGUCUCUACUUCCUAAAGCGGCUGAAGAAAUUUGGCAUGCCACACCGGGUCCUCUCCAAAUACUACUGCUGCACCAUUGAGAGCAUCCCGACCGGUUGCAUCAUGUCCUGGUCUGACCUCUCCCAAUGUGACAGCCGCGGCCGCUGAAGGACGUCCUGAUUGGCUGACACUGCACUUCCACCUGCCAUUGCCACACCGAUCGUUACCAAGGUGUGAGAGGUCUGGUUGCCGUGUAGGCAGUUGAUGAAGAAAAGGAAUCGAUGGAGUGAGGAAUAAUGAAGAAAUGAGAGACGGAGACAGACAGGCCGCAAAAAUGAGUGUGUCACUUUUGCAGUGACAAAAUAACUUCAAACUAACAUACUAACAGAGUAAUCGUCAUUCAAAAAUGUAAUCUUAAAGAGAAGAAAUGUAACAGAACAAAAUGCACUUCAUUUUGAUAUUAACUACUUCAAUGAGAGAUUGGAGGCUCAAUUUAUAUUCUAAUUGAAUGAAUUUUAUAAAAGGAUUAACAAGAAAAAUGCCUGAGCUAGGAGGCUGAGUUCUUUGAAAGUAAGCCUUAACAAAUAUGGCACAAUUGUAACAAAAUGAUUUAGCUUUUAUAAUAGUGGGUUUGAUUUGUUUGAAUGUUGACUCCAGACCUUGGUCUUGUGGUUCAUUCAAGUGGUACUGUACAGAAGAUAUAAAAAAGUGAUAUAUUCGCAUAUCUUUCCUAAGAGAAUCAUUACAAUAAUAACUGGGCAACGCAGGCAGGGAAAUGAUUGAUGACUAUAUGGAAUUCUAAACUGCUCUUUGGUUGGUUUCGAGGCGAGCAAGGUUUAUUUGUCUUCAUAUUGUGAGAGUCUCUGUUUAUGUUCUGUCUCUGGAGAAACCACAUGUCCUGAGAAAUGACCCCACCCCCCAGAAACACACCAAAUAUUAAGUUCUGUAAAGGCUAUCAAUUUCACUGUACUGAUCUGCCGCUUUAGUAACUCAGUCUAACCCACUUUGAAAACCUGUCAAUUAAUCUUGAAUUAUUUCAGCGACAGAAGACCGGAGCUUUCUUCUUCUCUGGUCUGGUCUGUCCAUCUUCUCCCGAAGGGGUGUAUUUGGACUGUAGGUAGCUAGGUAAAGCAGUGGGUUUGCUUAUUCUAUGGAACCAAAGGAAAGAUUUCAAAUAUACUCUGUUGAAAAUUAUAUAAUGUCACAUAUAGUGUAUAAUAUAAUUUAAUGUUCAGUUAUAUUGUUUUGAACAUGGACUUGAAAUAAGCCUAUACAGCAAAUAGCCUGAAAAUCACUAAGAUGCAUGUAGUGGUGAAUGCAGGCAGAGUGCAGACAUUCUUAAACAUGACAAUCAUGCUCCAUCAGAGUUUACAAGGAGUGUAUGCAUCGGGUCAAGCGUACUGCAACUGAGAUAUCCUCACUGCAGUCUGCACCUUUUCCACUAUUUCCAGGCCAAUUGAUUUAUUUCACAUUAUUAAUGAACUUUGCUGCAGCUCCACUUGUCAGGCUUGGCCUGUGGGGGUCAAUAACGAGAGGAAACUUGAUGUUAGUGGAUCCUGCUUAAGUGAUUCUGUCGCGCUAACGAUUCAAUAUAUCAGGACAAAUGUCAGCCACUUUUAAUAUGUUGAUUCCACCGUGCCUCAUCUGCAUAAGCGCUGGGCUUGGUGAGAUCCAAACUUCGACUCAGCCCGACCAGGAGAUAUGUAAUGGCAGGCUGAGAAUUCGUUCAGCUUUCGGUAAAUAUUUGAUGAAACAGGUAUAGGCGGCUGAACGGAAUGGACGGCUAGUGCAGAAUAAAUAAACCGACUUCCUGAUGUGUCGUUGAAUGCCACUCAUCCUGGGAUCGUCAUUCUUUAGAACUGUUAUGAACCAAAGUAGUAUGACAAGUCAUAAUCUAGCUUUGAAUGUUGAUUGAUAUGUGUGCUUUCUCCAUAAUGCACUUAAAAGAAAGGUAACUAUAUGCUA
Molecule: non-coding RNA, 2738 nt
Organism: Salmo salar (Atlantic salmon)
Lineage: Eukaryota; Metazoa; Chordata; Actinopteri; Salmoniformes; Salmonidae
Source: RefSeq, a predicted model, not a curated record